This is a long non-coding RNA of Cuculus canorus (common cuckoo), 1338 nucleotides long. RefSeq lists it as uncharacterized. The transcript is spliced from 3 exons. The record is from RefSeq and is a predicted model, not a curated record. NCBI's taxonomy places the organism in Eukaryota, Metazoa, Chordata, Aves, Cuculiformes, Cuculidae.
CGACAUGAGGACAUAGUCUGCACACAGCUGGGAGGUGGAGAAUUUGCUGCUCUGAGCUUGGCCGUCUGCAGCGUAGAUGUCCCCAAAGCUUCCAGGGUCACGGAGGAAGUCUCUUUUUCUCCCUACAGAUCAGAAAAACUAGAGUGGACUUUGCGACCCAAAUCAUCCUUCAUGGUCACGUGUCCAACCAGACUGCUUCGAUCCUACCUGCUCCUACCAAGACAGAGAAGAACCACAGACAGCAAGGGGGAACUGCAACCAGCACAAACAUACUGCUAAGAUUUGGGAAGAUACAAGUAGCACCGUGGACUGACAGCAUACUUAACUACCUAUAAAGGACAGGUAGCAUUGCUGAUCUCUGAUUAAGUUCAGAAUAGGAUACACUUCCUGUGCAGCAAAAAGAUCUUCCCUUGAAACUCUUGCCCUUAACUGGCAUUAGUUGAUCUUCAACUGUGGCUUCAAGGCACCUCAAGAUACCAUCACACUGAUUCCCAGUCAAAGCAAGCUUUUGCGAGGAAUGCUCUUGGAAAGAGAUGGGAGGCCAGAGGAGGGGAGACUGAGUAAGCAAGGAAAACCAUAUCCUGCUGUCUAUGUUCAGUAACGUCAUCCAAUAUUAUGAUAUGUGCAGAUGUUUACAAGAAUGCUAAUCUCUUCCCAAGUGGUGUUACAGCUAGCAGGGUGUGGAGAAUCUAUCUGAAGACUCCCAAGCACGCUCUCAGAGUGUUCACCCUUAGCCUUCUAGCUGAUGGGAAACAUGUCAUGGUGACCAAUGGCAAAUACAGCACUUACCAUUACCGCAACUACUAAAAAGGCUUUAUACUGGCUGUUUAUAACCUUUAAGAGGCCUUCGAGAUCAGUAAGAGGGGUCAAGUGAUGUUAUUGUUUUGGUGACAGACGGAAGAUCCCUAGUAAAUGAUGGUGGUCUGGGAAUCAUUAAAAGAAUGGAGUACUUCAUCUGUUCAAAAGCUGAAGAGGGAAGCAACUUUGGAGAGCAGCUCCUUGACAGAGAAUUACAUCUCUUUGGGAGGCCAACACUCUGUGGUCAUGAUGAACACUGCAUGUGAACCACAGAUACUUCAUUAAGUGAGAGCACAGACAUGCAAGACCAGUGGUGACUUACUGGUGACCAUAAGCAAAUGCCAGCCUCAAAACCUCCACCAGUGAAGCCACAAGUCAGGACAGAGGCUCAUCAAAUGCUCUAUGAAAGGAUGUAGGUGAUGUUUACAGCACCACCAAUGGAGUCAGGGGCUGAAAAUAAUGGUGCAGCACCAAAGGGAACACGUGAAAAAGGAACGAAAUCACUCAACUCAACUGGGAUGGCUCAAAAAGGGGCAAGAG